Echria macrotheca is the source of this 113-nucleotide non-coding RNA. The record is from the annotation of a GenBank genome assembly. Lineage: Eukaryota; Fungi; Ascomycota; Sordariomycetes; Sordariales; Schizotheciaceae.
GUUCCCAUAGCUCAGGGGUAGAGCGUUCGGCUGCAGUGAUUAUAUAUAUAUUACAUAAUAUAUAUAUAAUUUGUGGAUCCGACAGGUCUCGUGUUCAAAUCACGAUGGGAACU